UACGAAGGGGGCUAGCGUUGUUCGGAAUUACUGGGCGUAAAGCGCGUGUAGGCGGGCCGUUAAGGCGGGGGUGAAAGCCCAGAGCUCAACUCUGGAAUUGCCUUCGAUACUGGCGGCCUGGAGCAUGAUAGAGGCGAGUGGAAUUGCGAGUGUAGAGGUGAAAUUCGUAGAUAUUCGCAGGAACACCAGUGGCGAAGGCGACUCGCUGGAUCAUUGCCUACGCUGAGACGCAAAAGCGUGGGGAGCAGACAGG
This 253-nucleotide ribosomal RNA is filed under the name uncultured bacterium. Its description in RNAcentral is "partial 16S ribosomal RNA". It matches the Rfam family "Bacterial small subunit ribosomal RNA", at positions 524 to 776 of the family's 1533-position model. The record is from RNAcentral.